RNAcentral lists this ribosomal RNA (253 nucleotides) under uncultured bacterium. RNAcentral describes it as "partial 16S ribosomal RNA". It matches the Rfam family "Bacterial small subunit ribosomal RNA", at positions 524 to 776 of the family's 1533-position model. The record is from RNAcentral.
GACAGAGGUGCCAAGCGUUAGGCGGAAUCACUGGGCUUAAAGCGUGUGUAGGCGGAUCGUUAAGUGCCUUGUGAAAUCCCAUGGCUUAACCAUGGAACUGCUCGGCAUACUGGCGGUCUUGAGCCAUCUAGGGGCUACCGGAACAAAUGGUGGAGCGGUGAAAUGCGUAGAUAUCGUCAGGAACGCCAAUGGUGAAGACAGGUGACUGGGCUAGUUCUGACACUGAGGCACGAAAGCGUGGGGAGCGAACGGG